CUCAGAGACCUUCUAAUUUCUAUCGGUAAUGUUAGCAAGUUGUAUGGAAAAAGACUAAAUAAACUACACUUUUGUCUUAAGCAAGCAGUAGGCGGCAGGUGAAACAUUUAUUAGUCUACCUACACCCUCUGACUAGCAUCAGACUGGCAAAUAUGUAAUCGUAAGAUCCAUGAAAGGCCAGCGUGAGACUUAAAAGAGACUAUAGGUCCCCAUCACAAAGCUAGACUUAAAUUUACACUAAAUCCAAAUAAUUUCAGAAGCGCAAGUAUAAAACAGAAUAUGCACUAAACCCUCUUCCAGGUCACUAGAUUACACUUUUUGGGCUGGUGGGUGAAUGCUUACAGUUAGUGACCAUCCCUCCGUGAUCUCCCACUCUCAGGCGAGUGAUGUCUUUUCAGUUCACCAUCCAAAUGUGCUCCGGAAAGAGGUUUUAGCUUUUCUUCUCUUUUCUCCAGUUGCUGGGAGACCUAAGUCUUGACUGAGUCGCCACAGUUUCUCCAGAGCGACUGUAGGAGUGCUGAUGACGUCUCAGCUGUUUCACGAUUGGCCAGAUUCACCGCAUGACAACGAUCACGUGUGUUUAGGUGAGGGGCUACUGGCUGACAGCGUCCUGUAAUUUCUGAGAGAUUUACCUGCCAUUCUUCUGGAAAACUGCUGUUCUUUAAAGAACAGUGAUCAAUCAGAAUUCUCUGUUCCCACACCCAACCAUUCCUCUGAAGGAAUGUGAAAAUAUGAACCCGUUGAACUGCUGGUGACAGUUUUCACAUGAUUAGUUGGAAGUGCGUGGCAAAGAAUGUUAGGGGUAUUGCUAUUUCACUGAAAUUAGCCUGCUGUACUCACUGUUUCAUGCAUACAGUUGUUGUCAAACUUUUACAUCACAUUGCAGAAUAAUAAAGUUAUAUGAUAAGUUUUUAUUUUUUAUAUUAUUAUAUUUCUACAGGAUCCUCUGUUCCCAGACCCAACCAUUCAUCUGAAGGAAUGUUAAAAUAUGAACCCGUUGAACUACUGGUGACAGUUUCCACAUGAUUAAUUGAAAGGGCGUGGAAAAGGAUGUUAGGGGUAUUGCUAUUUCACUGAAAUUAGCCUGCUGUACUCACUGUUACACGCAUACAGUUGUUGUCAAAAGUUUACUAAUCACAAUACAGAAUGAUAAAGUUAUAUAGUAAGCUUUUUAAUUAUUAUUAUUUAGGACUGGCCCGAUGAAGUAAUUUAAUUUAAAAUAUGUUUAGUCUUCAAUUUAGAAUAAUAGCUGAUU
Carassius auratus (goldfish) is the source of this 1255-nucleotide long non-coding RNA. RefSeq lists it as uncharacterized. The transcript is spliced from 4 exons. The record is from RefSeq and is a predicted model, not a curated record. NCBI's taxonomy places the organism in Eukaryota, Metazoa, Chordata, Actinopteri, Cypriniformes, Cyprinidae.